ACGGAGGGUCCAAGCGUUAUCCGGAAUCAUUGGGUUUAAAGGGUCCGUAGGCGGGGUAAUAAGUCAGUGGUGAAAGUCUGCAGCUCAACUGUAGAAUUGCCAUUGAUACUGUUAUUCUUGAAUUAUUAUGAAGUGGUUGGAAUGAGUAGUGUAGCGGUGAAAUGCAUAGAUAUUACUCAGAACACCUAUUGCGAAGGCAGAUCACUAAUAAUAUAUUGACGCUGAGGGACGAAAGCGUAGGUAGCGAACAGG
This 252-nucleotide ribosomal RNA is filed under the name uncultured bacterium. Its description in RNAcentral is "partial 16S ribosomal RNA". It matches the Rfam family "Bacterial small subunit ribosomal RNA", at positions 525 to 776 of the family's 1533-position model. The record is from RNAcentral.